GCAAAUGCAAAUGAUACGGUGAAACCUGCCCAUGACGAGAAGACACCUGCUGAGGUUGAGUUUCAUGAUUCAAACAAAGGGAAGAGGGGAAAACAAGUAGAUCGUUCCUCGUGUGGUUCAAAUACACCAUCUGGAAGUGAUCAAGAGAUAGAUGCAACAGAAAAUAAUGAUAAAGAAGAAAAAGAGGAAGAAAAUGAUCUUGAGAUGAAUCGUCCAGCUGUCGAGUUAAGCAAUCGCCGCAAUAGAAGUAUCAGUAACACAAGUGAAUCUUGGAAGGAGGUUUCUGAUGAGGUAAAAAGGGUAUGUUAUUUUAUUUUAUGUAUUCUGUAGCAGUUUUCUUCUUAUAAAGCUUACGUUUUCUCGUAAUGUAUAUACCAUACAGGGGCGGCUGGCUUUUCAAGCUCUCUUCACUCGUGAUGUAUUGCCUCAAAGCUUUUCACCUCCCUAUGAUGUAGAAAAUGAGAACAAGGCAAGUGAGAACGUUGAGAAAGAUAGUCAUGUUGUAGAUAAAGAUAGUGGUGCAUCAGUUUUGGACCUUAACGGCAAGACUUGUGGAUCUUUUAGUCAUCAAAGUAUGGAGAGAGAUACAUCAGCAAUAGGUAUCAACAAUGGAGAGGGAGAACUUCUCACAAUUGGACUAGGAAAU
This 646-nucleotide long non-coding RNA is filed under the name Cucumis sativus (cucumber). RNAcentral describes it as "long non-coding RNA (CSAT_LNC002235)". The record is from RNAcentral. Lineage: Eukaryota; Viridiplantae; Streptophyta; Magnoliopsida; Cucurbitales; Cucurbitaceae.